Long non-coding RNA from Erinaceus europaeus (western European hedgehog), 1068 nucleotides. RefSeq lists it as uncharacterized. The transcript is spliced from 3 exons. The record is from RefSeq and is a predicted model, not a curated record. Lineage: Eukaryota; Metazoa; Chordata; Mammalia; Eulipotyphla; Erinaceidae.
AAAGAACCAGGUAUCACUCUGGUACAUGUGCUGCUGGGGAAUGAACUCAGGACCUCAUGCAUGACUGAGGUGGUUGUGGUGGUGGGGGUAAAAGUCCCAAAGAAACAAGUAGGACUUACUUGAAAUCCACAAGAGGUUAGCAAAAGAGAUCAACAAUGUAAGCAACUAGAUACUGUUCGCUGCAGAUUCAAUGUCUGGGUAGUAAAGGUGUUGGUUCUCUCUGAACCAAUCUACAAGUUUAAUGAAAUUCCUAUUAUAGUAAUCCCAGUUUGUUUUUCUGUGGACAUAAAUUUGCUCUCACAUUCACAGGGCAAAGCAAUGCAAUUAGAGGAGGAAAUUAGAGCCCUCAGUGGAUUGGAGAUGGAAACAUAAAACUCUGACACUAAGAACCAUUAGCCAUUAGGGAGGUGGCAGGCAUUAGGGAGCAGACUGGUCAUGAUGGGUAUGGACAGGAUCUGGGCAGGGAGUGGAGGAGUGAGGAUGAAAAAGGGGCUCUGGAAACAUUCAGCAGUUUAAGAAACUCCAGGGGAGACUUCUUAUGAUCCAGCUACCGUUCACUGCUCAGUGCUCACUGUUGGACAUUUAUCCAGAGGAAAUGAAAAGGUCCCCACAAAAACCUGUAUACUGGGCUAAGCUGUGAGUUUAACCACAAAUUUAACAAGGAACGAGUGGAGAAAUGACCUGCAUGGUACACCAAGCACUGUGCCAGUGUCCUAACACAACAUUGUGCCAUGAUGCUGUGGUUGAGAACCUGGGAGGAGGGCACAAGGGCUCUAGCUGCAUCAUCCUGCCUGGGCUCACAGGACUGUUUCAGAAGCUGUCUCUGCCUUUCUCCUCCAUGUGUGAGGAACCCCCACCCCACCCCCACCCCCAGCAUGGUAGAGGAAGUCCUGAAGCUGUUUGGACAACAGAAGUCAGGAGUGGCUGGAGGCUGACCAGUGUUCCUGUGGGAUGGGCAGGAUGGUCUGGGAGAGGUCUCCAGCAUAUCAGCCCAGUGGUACCGGCUUCUGCCCCAGCGACCCGUUCUUGUGCUACCUGCCAGCACAGACUGUAGGGAUACCUCCAGUU